Spinacia oleracea (spinach) is the source of this 751-nucleotide long non-coding RNA. RefSeq lists it as uncharacterized. NCBI's taxonomy places the organism in Eukaryota, Viridiplantae, Streptophyta, Magnoliopsida, Caryophyllales, Amaranthaceae. The transcript has 2 exons. The record is from RefSeq and is a predicted model, not a curated record.
GAUAAGUUCAGGAAAAAUAAGUGAAAAAUAAGGUGAAUAGAACGCAGCCUUAGGAUACAAUUUUUAGAUAAGACUUUCAAACCUUCCGUGUAACUUUCUCGUAAAAAAUAAUAAUAAAAUUAAAAAAAAAAAAAAAACAUUGGAAACGGACCAUGAUAGUUACGGAAAAGAAUUUGGUUUUUGCUGGUGAAGGAAGAGGGCUAGGGUAUUUAUACAACACAUCACACAUGUGAAUCCACAAAGAAAUCAGACAUACAUUCAUAACCACUGGUUUGGUUUGGGCUUGAAGGGAGGAACCUAAAUCCUAAAUUCUAAAGCAACGACGUAAAAAGACCACAAUUCAAAAGGCAUAAGCGAGAGAAUGGAGGCGCCCACAACUCAAGCAGUAGAGCAGCCAAGCAGGGGAUAUCUAGGCACUGAUGAUCCUGAAGAGAAACUUCUCGAUCAAAGUUGUUCCUGCCUGUUCGAUUGUAUUCAAGGCCUGUUCGACUUCCUCUGCUGCAAUUCUGAUUUUUGUUGUUAAUUUUUAUUAAUUUAUUAAUAGGACUGUAAUAAAUUACUCAUUAAUCUUAUUAUUCGUCAAUUGACUUAUGCAAUUGACCUAACUUGAUUACUAAUUUCAAAUACUCGAUUUCUGAAUUUCAAAUAGAAAUAUCAAGUUGAAGUUGAUGAUGUUUUAUUAAUUGUUCUAUUAUUAACAUGUUUAGUAAUCUGGAUAUCUAAUGACAUUACCGGACUAAUUCUUUACCAA